RNAcentral lists this long non-coding RNA (161 nucleotides) under Manacus vitellinus (golden-collared manakin). RNAcentral's name for it is "lncRNA (ENSMVIG00005013279.1)". The record is from RNAcentral. Lineage: Eukaryota; Metazoa; Chordata; Aves; Passeriformes; Pipridae.
AGAGCAGAGAGGGUUUUAAAGGCACUUUGCACGUAAGUACUCAUGAAACAACAUUGUUAUUCUCACACAGCAGGCAUAAGCAGAAGAAACAGAGACAUAACAACUUAGCAAUGCAAAAUGAGCUCCAGGCAUCAGGGACACCAGGUUGCAGGUCAGAGUCA